GCCGGCGUAGCUCAAUUGGCAGAGCAUCUGUCUUGUAAACAGAAGGUUAAGGGUUCAAGUCCCUUCGUCGGCU
Molecule: transfer RNA, 73 nt
Filed under: Actinomadura rubrisoli
Lineage: Bacteria; Bacillati; Actinomycetota; Actinomycetes; Streptosporangiales; Thermomonosporaceae
Rfam family: tRNA
About the family: Transfer RNA (tRNA) molecules are approximately 80 nucleotides in length. Their secondary structure includes four short double-helical elements and three loops (D, anti-codon, and T loops).
Source: Rfam by way of RNAcentral